This 253-nucleotide ribosomal RNA is filed under the name uncultured bacterium. RNAcentral describes it as "partial 16S ribosomal RNA". It matches the Rfam family "Bacterial small subunit ribosomal RNA", at positions 524 to 776 of the family's 1533-position model. The record is from RNAcentral.
UACGUAGGGGGCGAGCGUUGUCCGGAAUCAUUGGGCGUAAAGCGCGUGUAGGCGGCUCGGUAAGUCUGCUGUGAAAGUCCAGGGCUCAACCCUGGAAUGCCGGUGGAUACUGUCGAGCUUGAGUCCGGAAGAGGCGAGUGGAAUUCCUGGUGUAGCGGUGAAAUGCGCAGAUAUCAGGAGGAACACCAAUGGCGAAGGCAGCCCCCUGGGCUGAGAUUGACGCUCAGGCACGAAAGCGUGGGGAGCAAACAGG